UACAGAGGUCUCAACCGUUGUUCGGAUUCAUUGGGCGUAAAGGGUGCGUAGGCGGUCGCGUAAGUCGGAUGUGAAAUCUCAGGGCUCAACCCUGAAACUGCAUUCGAUACUGCGUGGCUAGGGUACUGGAGAGGAGACUGGAAUUUACGGUGUAGCAGUGAAAUGCGUAGAUAUCGUAAGGAAGACCAGUGGCGAAGGCGAGUCUCUGGACAGUUACCGACGCUGAGGCACGAAGGCGUGGGGAGCAAACAGG
This 253-nucleotide ribosomal RNA is filed under the name uncultured bacterium. Its description in RNAcentral is "partial 16S ribosomal RNA". It matches the Rfam family "Bacterial small subunit ribosomal RNA", at positions 524 to 776 of the family's 1533-position model. The record is from RNAcentral.